GGGGGUAUAACUCAGCGGGAGAGUGUCACGCUGGCAGCGUGAAAGUCAGGGGUUCAAAUCCCCUUACCUCCACCA
RNAcentral lists this transfer RNA (75 nucleotides) under Acidaminobacter hydrogenoformans DSM 2784. RNAcentral describes it as "tRNA_Ala_GGC". It matches the Rfam family "tRNA". Rfam says of the family: Transfer RNA (tRNA) molecules are approximately 80 nucleotides in length. Their secondary structure includes four short double-helical elements and three loops (D, anti-codon, and T loops). The record is from RNAcentral. RNAcentral also lists the same sequence under 2 other names. Lineage: Bacteria; Bacillati; Bacillota; Clostridia; Peptostreptococcales; Acidaminobacteraceae.